This 347-nucleotide ribosomal RNA is filed under the name uncultured bacterium. RNAcentral describes it as "bacterial SSU rRNA". It matches the Rfam family "Bacterial small subunit ribosomal RNA", at positions 29 to 368 of the family's 1533-position model. The record is from RNAcentral.
AACGAACGCUGGCGGCGCGCUUAACACAUGCAAGUCGAACGAGAAGGCGUAGCAAUACGCUUGUAAAGUGGCGAACGGGUGAGGAAUACGUGGGUAACCUACCCUCGAGUGGGGGAUAACCCGCCGAAAGGCGGGCUAAUACCGCGUACGCUUCCGAUCUCGCGGGAUCGGAAGGAAAGCUGUCCCAAGGGGAUGGCGCUCAAGGAUGGGCUCAUGUCCUAUCAGCUUGUUGGUAGGGAACGGCCUACCAAGGCAUCGACGGGUAGCUGGUCUGAGAGGACGAUCAGCCACACUGGCACUGCGACACGGGCCAGACUCCUACGGGAGCAGCAGUGAGGAAUAUUGCG